This is a non-coding RNA of Schistosoma curassoni, 78 nucleotides long. NCBI's taxonomy places the organism in Eukaryota, Metazoa, Platyhelminthes, Trematoda, Strigeidida, Schistosomatidae. The record is from Rfam.
AGCUUUCUUAAUCGGUGCCGAUUUUUCAUCAGACAGUAGACCAUCAAUACUGAUGAGAUUCCCAAGUUACAUGGAGCG